UACGUAGGGGGCGAGCGUUGUCCGGAGUUACUGGGCGUAAAGGGCGUGUAGGCGGUUGAAUAAGUCCGGUGUGAAAUUCCGAAGCUUAACUUCGGAACUGCGCUGGAUACUGUUUGACUGGAGUUUGGCAGGGGUAACUGGAAUUCCUGGUGUAACGGUGAAAUGUGUAGAUAUCAGGAGGAACACCUGUGGCGAAGGCGGGUUACUGGGCCACAACUGACGCUGAGACGCGAAAGCGUGGGUAGCAAACAGG
This 253-nucleotide ribosomal RNA is filed under the name uncultured bacterium. RNAcentral describes it as "partial 16S ribosomal RNA". It matches the Rfam family "Bacterial small subunit ribosomal RNA", at positions 524 to 776 of the family's 1533-position model. The record is from RNAcentral.